This 221-nucleotide unclassified non-coding RNA is filed under the name uncultured fungus. RNAcentral's name for it is "sequence contains ITS1". Lineage: Eukaryota; Fungi. The record is from RNAcentral.
GUAUUGAUUGCGUGUGACCGCAAAGAUAACAUUCUACACUGUAUCAAGUUUUGUGUGAAAACGUGAGCUCCUUUUGCAAAAGAAGACCCACGCGGUGAUGCACAAGGGGUGAAAUGGAUGUGUGAGAGUGCUCAGGCGUGCACGACCUUUUGAAAGGUCAGCGACAGCCCUCGCACCCCCGUUGUAUGAUAAUGAUCCUUCCGCAGGUUCACCUACGGAAA